GACGAACGCUGGCGGCGUGCUUAACACAUGCAAGUCGAACGGAAAGGCCCUGCUUGCAGGGUACUCGAGUGGCGAACGGGUGAGUAACACGUGGGUGAUCUGCCCUGCACUUCGGGAUAAGCCUGGGAAACUGGGUCUAAUACCGGAUAGGAGCCAUUUUUAGUGUGAUGGUUGGAAAGUUUUUUUCGGUGUAGGAUGAGCUCGCGGCCUAUCAGCUUGUUGGUGGGGUAAUGGCCUACCAAGGCGGCGACGGGUAGCCGGCCUGAGAGGGUGGACGGCCACAUUGGGACUGAGAUACGGCCCAGACUCCUACGGGAGGCAGCAGUGGGGAAUAUUGCUCAAUGGGCGCAAGCCUGAUGCAGCGACGCCGCGGGGGGGAGGACGGCCUUCGGGUUGUAAACUCCUUUCGCUAGGGACGAAGCUUUUUGUGACGGUACCUAGAUAAGAAGCACCGGCUAACUACGUG
Molecule: ribosomal RNA, 466 nt
Filed under: uncultured bacterium
Lineage: Bacteria
Description: partial 16S ribosomal RNA
Rfam family: Bacterial small subunit ribosomal RNA
Source: RNAcentral